AGAACAUAGUAUAAUUAAAUACAUUUCAUUUACACUGAAAAUAUGCUAAAGCUAUUAGCUGCUCUA
This 66-nucleotide transfer RNA is filed under the name Varicospira cancellata. Its description in RNAcentral is "tRNA-Val". Lineage: Eukaryota; Metazoa; Mollusca; Gastropoda; Littorinimorpha; Rostellariidae. The record is from RNAcentral.